AUUGAACGCUGGCGGCAUGCCUUACACAUGCAAGUCGAACGGUAACAGGUCUUCGGACGCUGACGAGUGGCGAACGGGUGAGUAAUACAUCGGAACGUGCCCGAUCGUGGGGGAUAACGAGGCGAAAGCUUUGCUAAUACCGCAUACGAUCUACGGAUGAAAGCGGGGGAUCUUCGGACCUCGCGCGGACGGAGCGGCCGAUGGCAGAUUAGGUAGUUGGUGGGAUAAAAGCUUACCAAGCCGACGAUCUGUAGCUGGUCUGAGAGGAUGAUCAGCCACACUGGGACUGAGACACGGCCCAGACUCCUACGGGAGGCAGCAGUGGGGAAUUUUGGACAAUGGGCGAAAGCCUGAUCCAGCCAUGCCGCGUGCAGGAUGAAGGCCUUCGGGUUGUAAACUGCUUUCGUACGGAACGAAAAGCCUCUUUCUAAUAAAGAGGGGUCAUGACGGUACCGUAAGAAUAAGCACCGGCUAACUACGUG
This 482-nucleotide ribosomal RNA is filed under the name uncultured bacterium. Its description in RNAcentral is "partial 16S ribosomal RNA". It matches the Rfam family "Bacterial small subunit ribosomal RNA", at positions 30 to 507 of the family's 1533-position model. The record is from RNAcentral.